UCCUAUCCUGGGUGAUAAUGCAUGCGUUGUGUCCUUUACUCCCCUUGGCUGCCCCUCCUCUCGUGGGCACUACCCUAUAAAUCGUUAUGAAUAAAGCAAUCCUCGUCCUCCAUGAUCCAAUUCCAUUCCUUACAAAUAAUGUAAUUGAGAUAGAGAGGGACUAAGGUAUAAUCGGGUGGGAGAGCCGAGAGCGUGAAUGAGAGACGGAAGAUUUGCAAUUGGCAGAGAAGGGGGUGGUUUUAGACGCACGCUAGCGUUGCGCCACCAAAACUUGCAAGAGGAGUGAUGGUGCCACGCUGCGUGCGUCUAAAGUCUUUAACCCCUUGAUUUUCUUUUUUCUUUUUCAUAUAAUUAACGCCAAUUGAAGGAAUUCAAACAUCAAACCUGGAUUGGAAGAAAAAUGGUGAAGAGCUGAGAUGUUAGCUUUCCCAAAUUUUGUUUGAGUAACUAAUUGUUAUUACUUGCCAAUUUAAAUUCCCACCAUGUGAUCUUUAUAAUUGCCAAAUGAUUUUUUAUUUAUUUGCUUCCUUAUUUUGAUCAUAUUCUCCUCGUAUUCCUUAUUUUCUUAUUCCAUGCAUUUUCAGUACUAGAGCAUUUUAGCAUGUGCUUGGACACUGGAGUGAAGCCGGUGCUUAUAUAUAGCAAUGUUUACGAUUGCUCUAUUUUUUUUAAGAAGGAUUUCAUGCUAAUUUUCUAGCUAAUUAAUUUGAAUCUUGGUUUUGGAAAUUGGAAUAUUACUGUUUAUUUUGAUUUUCAUUGUUCUAGUUCUCUGCAUUUCUAUCUUCCUGUUUUUCUUUUGUGUUAGUUUGACCCUACUGGUCUUGAGUUUCGAUUGGCAGAGUGAAAUGACAGGCCACAUGACAAGGAAAUGCAACAAUGAUCGUGCCUACCAAGCAGAUAAAAGGCUGGUAGCUGUGUUUGCUUCUUAUAGCAAGAUAUUAAGGUGCAGAUCAAGACAAACCAAGUCUCGUGUUCUUCGAAGUUUGAACUUUUCAAAGGCCUCGAAUUAAUGGACUCUUGUAAGAAACAGAAGACUUGGCACAAAUCUUUGAUGUUACUUCAGAAUUGAACCUGCUACUGCUUCAGCCGCCUGUAAAAGAAGAUGAAAACCGUUGCUUUCUCUCUUGCACUGGAAAACGCAUUUUUAUAGCCCUGCAUGACUGACUUUUUUAUUGUUUCUGGAUCUGUCUCCCAUGUUCAUAAAUAUAUUUGUUUAGUGAUACAUGUUAUUUGUAUAAGGUAAAUUUUUAUCUAGUUAUAAUAAAUUUAUAUUUUAUUGUUUAUAA
Populus nigra (black poplar) is the source of this 1286-nucleotide long non-coding RNA. RefSeq lists it as uncharacterized. The transcript has 2 exons. The record is from RefSeq and is a predicted model, not a curated record. Lineage: Eukaryota; Viridiplantae; Streptophyta; Magnoliopsida; Malpighiales; Salicaceae.